RNAcentral lists this long non-coding RNA (621 nucleotides) under Bos indicus x Bos taurus (hybrid cattle). RNAcentral describes it as "lncRNA (ENSBIXG00005017837.1)". The record is from RNAcentral. Lineage: Eukaryota; Metazoa; Chordata; Mammalia; Artiodactyla; Bovidae.
GUCAGUUUUACCCUCCAGGAUACAGCAAGGUGAGGAAUGAACCAUUUCUUGGGCAUGCUUUUUAUUUUAAAGAAGAGAAUGUAGGACAAUCCAGUCAAUCCUACUCCUCUUUCGGAGGUUCCAAAACAGCAGACGGUCAAGAGCUGGGAGGAGUUGGACAAUCCAAAGAAGAGCUGCUGAGGCGGAAACACGGUUCUUUGUCUUGGGAGCUUCUGGAUUCUAGCUGUGGGGGAAGGGAGAGAACUCUGCAUUUCCUUUCCAAAGGAAAACAUGGCCGGAGGUUUCCAGGUAAGCACACAUCAGAGCAGCCUUGUUGUCACUCUGUCUGGGCUUUGAGGGGAAAGGCACCUGAACUCCACACUGCUUCAGCUCCAGCAGCUCACCAGCUGAGAAGAGCAGCUGCUCCCCGUUUCAUCUGUUUCAUAUUCAGCAGGAAGAUUAGUUUAAGGUUCUGACGCCGGGAAAAUGAUGCUUACAGCCUACAGCCUACAGUAAGCACUCUGUUAUCCCGUUCAGCUGGGAGUGAGGUGCCCAGCUUUGUCAAAUGUGCUGGUUCCUGGAGAGCUAGUUGCCACAUAGACCAUCGGCCGGAGAUUGGUAUUCGAAGAUGCAGAACGCAUA